GCCAAAAAUUGGCUAAGUCCCGCGAGACGAGCUCUCGGGGACCGGUCUCUGGUGGGUAGACCGGUCUCCGGGGGACCGGUCUCUCAGGGAGAGACCGGUUCCCGAACGCGUGGAAAAUGGGAAGGUCCUCUGGGACCAGUCCCAUGUCGGGGAGACCGGUCCCUCCGCAUGGGUUCAACCCAGUAAGGGCCAGUUGAGAGAUAGAAAGUUGAGGGGCUUCUUAGCAUUUUGUUACAAUAUGAGAGGGGAUUAAGAGAGGGUUUCUCUCUCUCUUUCUCUCAUUCCCUCACUCUCCCUCACUGCUCUUUCUCUCUUUCCGAUCGUGGAAGAAGAAAAAGGAAAAAAAAAAAGAAGAGAAAAAAGAAAGAAAAAGAGAAGAAAAGAAGGAGAAAAUGGGAUUUUGUGAUUUGGGAGGGUUUGAUCUUAUUUGACCCUCUGUAAACCUAAUUGAUAGGUAACGAAACGCGUUGGCGAAGUCGGUUUGGCAAUCCGACAAGCCAUUACAAAGAUAUCGAAGAAACGGACGUUUGGAGCUUCGUUUCCGCCUGGAAGGCCGAGGCGACGUCCAUAAAUCGCGAGAUUGGAUCCCGAGCACCGUGACAACAAAGCGAAGACCUUUAAUUCUUGGAACGGCAAAGCGGCGCGCUAUUGGAGUGCAACUACAAGAUCGGGCCCAAACGGGUGCCGAGUGUUGCGGGAGGCCGAUUGCAAGUGUCGACGAGCAAUUGGAAAGCUAAGGUGGGUUGUGCUUACCGAAGCGACUAGGUCGCCCUUUAUGUCUAAGAACAUACGGUUUCAUAUUGACGCAUGUUAAUAAAAUGACGUAGAUGAUGCAUAUAUUAAAAAUGCUAAGUAGAAUGCAUGAUGAACAUGAUAUAUAAAUGCUAGAGGAUCGCAUGAGUGCAUGAGUAGCAUGACUAUAUAUAUAUGCAUGUAAACUAGAUGAUAACUCUAGAAGUGUAGAGUUGAUUGACAUGAGAACAAUAGAAUACUCGAUUGGACAAUUAGGAUGUCAAUUAGAUCGAGUGGCACCUAAACCUAGUGUUAAAGAACAUAGGUUAAACGAGUAAACCUAGAGUCGAACAAGUCUAGGUGUGUGGCAUCGAACCUAGUGUUAGUAAACAUAGAUCGAACAAGUGAACCUAGAGGUUGACAUCUAGGCAGAGAUGAGAUGGAACCUAGCGGUUUUACCUAGGUUAUGUAUAUGAUAAACCUAGAGUGAAGUUAAACCUAGGUUGUUGAGAAUAGUGGUAUUGACCACUAGGAUGUUCUAGGUCGACAACAUAGGGUUGGUUAUGGACCCUCGACCUGUGGAAAGUGGAUUCCGGAAUCCCAGGACUUGUGAUGACCCUGGUAUCAAGGCUAGGGCGUGUGCGACGACUUUGCCGCCGAGGUUGAUACCGAGGGAGGAUUGGGGGCGAUCACAUGGAGAUCACCGCUCGGAGCUUGGACCAUUGACGUGGCGUGUGCGACGAUUUCGCCGCCAAAUGGUUAAGUCGAUUGUCGAUCAGACCGCCGGGAUUGACUGAAACCAUUGCUGGGCAAGUACAAUACGGGUGCCGCCAGGUGGCUGAGUCGUGACUGAAAUCAUUGUUGGGUAAGGUGCGAUUAGUUCGCCGCCAGAUGGAUAGGUCAUGACUUGAGUCCUCGCUGGGUAAAUGCAAUGUGUUUGCCGCCAGAAUGGCUAUGUCAAGGGACUUGAGCCGGGUUCAGCAUGUGCGACGAUUUCGCCGUUAAGAGGCUAAGUCACAGAAGGCGGUACGCUGUUGAGCGGCCAGUGCACGGACUAUCCGCGGAUGAUUGACUCGAAGCCGAGUCGGGUGGUUAGCUUCGAUAAGAUAGUGGAACCCUUAUGAGCUAGUGAUAGAGGCUUGAGCUAAGGUAAUAGAGACCUUAGAAGCCAGUUGACUUGAGUGUGACCCUAAGGCAAUAGAAACCUUAGAGUUGAAUGAUAUGAGCUAAGAGUAGCCAAGUAGAAUCAAUUGAUCUACUAGUUGUUGCAUAGAGUUGCAUGAUUUUCAUAUCACAUAUCGUGAGGCAUGGCAUGUAUUUCAAUUCGAAUAUAUAUAUCUGUUGUAUAUUGUUGAACUAACAUGUUGCAGUGCCUCCUCGGACCUAUUGGUCGAACUUUUUCCUUGGGUGGCCGUACCCACUGAAAACCAUGGAGUUGGUUCUCACCCCACGUUGUUUUGGGGUGUUACAGGUUCGCACGUGAGCGGCGCAGCGGCACGAGGAAAGAGCGUAGCUCCAUAGAUAGUGCCCUACCACAGAGACCGAGGUAGCAGUACCCUGAGACAGUCUAGCUUAGGGGACUAGAAGACAAUGAACCAAGUUGUAUCAAUCUUUGUAAAUCAAAUGUAAUAACUGAGAUUGUAUUUGGAAGUCUAAUGUAAAAGAAAAACUGUGAUGUAAAAUGCAUGUAAUGAGAAUGCUUGUAAUAGCUAUAAGUUUAUGUUGUUGAUACUUCCUCAUGCAAUCUGUUUGUUGGUAUCGGUUCCUGGUUGGAACCUUCGUAUUGUGUUGAUUGCGAUGCCUUGAAUGUACAUGGGAGUCUCUAUCCGCAGUACAGGGAAAAUCCUGUCCGUUCGGCGGUCUGUCGGUGUGCCCGCGACCCGGCCAAAUAGGCGGGCGGUCGCGGGGUGUGACAGAUAAAGUGGUAUCAGAGCAUAAAGUCGAGAAUAAGAAAAUGGUUUAGACAGGCCUAGGAGACCCUAGGAUAUUGAAACCAUAGGAGAAUAAGACCCGUGAGAGACGAGGACUUGUGAUUCGUGGCGAAAGGUUAAUGGAUUGGGUUGUGUCGGAAUCUCUAAGACGGAUAUUAGAGGUAGACUUAAGGUAAGGUUUAUUCUUGACCAAGAGUGUUCAUGUUGGGCGCGUACAACAUGAAGCCGAGUGACGAGAAUAGACGUCCUUGCGUGACUUUCGCCAGAUUGACUUUUGAGUCGGUGUUAGUGGUCUCGUGUUCGGCCCAGUAGGUCGAGAACUAAUCGAGUUGUCCUGUUUCAAGAAGCGAUGGCACCACGUAGGCGAUCUUCGUCCAGAUCGGCGCCGGAGGGGACAAGUGGUGUCCCUGAGCAAACCGACGCGAGCGGAGACGUGGAGCUUCGUGAUCAGUUGGCCACACUCGUUAGAGUGAUGAGGCAACAGGCUGAUGUAGUGCAGCGGCAGCAGGAGGCUGCAAUGGGCCAAGAGGAGCGAAUGAAACGACUCUAGGAAACCUUGGAUCGACUGGUGGCUGCACCAGCUGCGGCUCGUCGAGAACGGCUGGGAGUUGGGGCGGAGAUGUUUCCAUCGGGGUCGGGCGACCCGACUUCUAUUAGUCCAGAGGUAGCGGCGGAGAAGAAGCGAGCUUUGGCUGCCUUCAUGGCUUUCAAGAAAUUUGAUCCGCUUACCUUUGAUGGAGAGGAUGCAGAUCCGUGGGUCGUUGAGAUGUGGAUCGAUUCUAUAGAAACACUCUUCGAGGAUCUGUACGUGUUGGAGCGAGACAAGGUAAACCUAGCCGCGCACUAUCUGAAACAAUCGGCGAAGGUGUGGUGGAAAGGCGUCAAGCAAGAUCGAUCGCUUAGUCUCCCUCCUAUGACUUGGGAUGAGUUUCGAGGGUUAAUAUUCUCUGCUUAUUUUCCCGACAGUGAGAGGCGGAAGCUUUAGGAAAGGUUCCAAAAGCUGCGGCAAGGAGAUCGCUCAGUCAAGCAUUACGAGCGGGAGUUCUCCCGUAUCGUGCAUUGUAUUCCAGACGUGGUACAGGAUGACAAGGAUAAGGCCAACUGCUUUGUGCGUGGACUUUGGCCGGAUCUUUACAAGCCUGUACUUAUGCUUAAGUUGCAGACUUUUGCCGAAGUCCUGGAUCGGGCCUUGUGGAUAGAACAAGGCGAGGCAUCUCUGCGGGAGAGGCGCGAGGCCUAUUACGAGGAGAAAAGAAAAGGACGACCAACGAGUGGACAUGAUGGUCAGUCAAGUUCCCAACAGACCUCGGUGAGUUCGCACUCUCGAUCUCGAGCUCCGGGGACGUACCACAUUCUGUCCUCGAUGAGAUGUGUGAUUUGUGGGGGCCCUCGUUACCCACAGCAAUGUGAGCAGCGAGAGGGCAAGUAUUUUAAGUGUGGGCGACCAGGCCAUAUGCAGGACGAGUGUCUGCAAGGUGAUAGCCAGGCCUUGACACUAGUGACGGCCCAUUCCUCUCCGCGACGGCCUGCAGGUGUGCAACCUGCGGCAUGGUCGGGGGAGCAGCCGUUGAGGACGAUGCAACCGGAGGGUUCACGGCGAGUGCCAAGCAUAUACUUUUGCAUGAUCUCAAGUUCGUGCAUGGCAUGCAUUCGUCAUUGGUGAGUUGCUACUAUUAUUACGUUGCAUAGUAGGGACCNUCCGCGACGGCCUGCAGGUGUGCAACCUGCGGCAUGGUCGGGGAACCUGCCGUUGCUGACGACGUCAUGGCAGGUAUGAGUUGAUUGAGCAAGCAUAUACUUUUGCAUGAUCUCAAGUUCGUGCAUGGCAUGCAUUCGUCAUUGGUGAGUUGCUACUAUUAUUACGUUGCAUAGUAGGGACCAAGUGGUCGGGUAGGUAGACACCCGAGCAUGCUUGCAUUGUGAGAGUAUAGCACCUGCUGGUGCAGGAAGAAGGCCAAGUGACACUAGCGAAUGGCUGGUGAUGGUUCUUGGAUGAGAAAUAGGGCUCGUGGCAAACGUGAUCUAGUAAAUGACUCUCGAAGCAUUGGAUAAGAGAUUGUGAGAGUUGAGCCUUGAUGUUUGGGGAUACUCGAAUAUUCUAAGAGUAUCUCGGAUGGGGAUUCGGUAGAUCGAACAGUGAAGACGAACUACUGUUGCGAAAUUGGUCGAUUAGCGCCGAGUUUGGCCUGUGGGCCUAGUAGUACCUCGAAUUGAGGUGAACUAGUUGUGCUCGUGUAGUCAGCGGGCAUAGGCAAGUUGCCUGAUGCUAAACUUCGUGUGAGACGCUGUAGAGGCGUAGAGCGCUCCAGUAUAGUUACUCGUGAAGUGUGAUUUCGAUUCAGCCAGUCGAGUGAAUUGGCAGUAGCACUUUAGCAGGGCUAAGUGUGAAGCGGGCCAUGGAUCACUCGUGGGGACUGGUGGCUUGCACUAGGUGCCUAGGAGCCGAUAGAGUGUGUAGCUCUGUAGAGCAUGUCGUGUAGGACGACGUUGGCGGGUAGCGCUUGGGGACAACCCGUGUCUGGACCAAUUGUGGACUGUGGAGCUUAGGCCCAUCGGGCAGGCGCAGUCAGCUGUGAGAGAUAGCGGCCCGAUACCUGCAGGUAGGGCGGAGUGUUGGUCAGGACCGUAGUUCGAGCUUGGACCCGGGUACGUGGAAUGCCACGUGUUAGAUCAUGAGAUUGAUGACACACUGGGUGUGUACUGACCCAACACGUGGACUUGACGUGGUUUGGAGUCUUGGUUGCUCCUGGUUGGAGUGUGUGCGAAUUCUCCAAUGAGAAUGUCGCCCGAUGAUGAUUGGGUCUGCGCUUGCGAGCGAGAGAUGCUAGGUAUCAUUGAGACGAGUUAGGCGAUUGGCCUACGUAGGAUUGGUGGCCCUUGGUUCACCUGUGCAAACCGACGGUCGGUGCGGCCGACAACUCUGUUAGUGAAGUUUUGGCCUGAACCUCGGAUGGUGGGUUCGUGAAGGUUCGUUGUAAGAGCGAAUGGAAGUUGAUCGUGGCUCACCGUAUCGAGGAUAGAGAGAAAGUAAAGUGGUCUCUAGGAGACACUUGAAUAAUGGAUAGCCACGCGAGGAUUGGAGUUUGAGGAUGAUGCUCUCAAGAGGAUAGAGAUCAGAGAUGUGUGGGAUUGUACCAUCUCGUGAGAGCAGAGAUUCGAUUGGGAUUGAAGCACUCGCGAUUGGGUCGAGGCAUCAAUGAUAUUGCUUCUAGGCAAUGCCGGUGAUCGGAUUGGAGUGUGUUCCUUGAAGUGAAGAGGAAUGCGAAGCGGAGAGGUAUCGAGCUCUCGAAUAGCCGAAGUAGUGGAGUGCCACUUUGCGGAUGCUUGAGUAAUUCGAGAGGGUCUACUCGUGCGCAUAGUGUUGUGGUGGUGGAUCGUUCGUUUAGUUGAUGCGAUCUUGCUAGAUCCACACCACAAGGACAAAGGGUAGUCCUGAUCUCGAGGGAUGGUGAUGUUUAGUAGAACUGCGAAGGAACGAGUCCUUCUUAAGCCGAGUGGUUGGUGGUGUUAGACUGUGUGGGGUCAUACAUAUUGACUUACGCUACCACCGGGGCCUGUGAGGCCAUAAUGCACUUUCGAUGUUACAGGUGGAAAAUGUGAGUGAAAUUGGUCUCACAUCUCCCGUAGUGGGCAUUUGGAUGAUUCCGAUAAGGAAAAGGCCACUUCGAAGUGCAAAAGUGCAUUGGAACCCUCGAUUAAGUAGUGAGUUGAAUUGAGGGGUGAUUUGGAGUUAUGAAUGAGUAAGUUUCGAGGACGAAACUUUUUUUAAGGAGGAGAGAAUGUAACAAAGUGAAUUCUCGAAAUCCGAGAGUUGCACUUCGUCCAAAAUCGACUAAUGGUCGAGUGGGUAUGCUUCGGAAAGGUCGAAGAUGUCAAAGACCCAAAAAGUGCAUUGGAAAUGAGUCCGCGAGAGCAAAGAUGCAAAAUCUGCAUUUUUAGCAGAUUUGCUCUCGGGGAUCGGUCUCUGGCAGGAGAGACCGGUUCCAUCGGCUGAGGGUGCGGGGUUGCUGAUGCAACCAGUCCCUAGCAGGGAGGGACCGGUCCCCGCAGGCGACACCAGCAAGAAUGGCCAAAAAUUGGCUAAGUCCCGCGAGACGAGCUCUCGGGGACCAGUCUCUGGUGGGCAGGCCAGUCUCCGGGGGACCGGUCUCUCAGGGAGAGACCGGUUCUCGAACGUGUGGAAAAUAGGAAGGUCCUCUGGGACCGGUCCCAUGUCGGGAAGACCGGUCCCUCCGCGCGGGUUCAGCCCAGUGAGGGCCAGUUGAGAGAUGGAAAGUUGAGGGGUUUCUUAGCAUUUUG
Molecule: long non-coding RNA, 6962 nt
Filed under: Ananas comosus (pineapple)
Lineage: Eukaryota; Viridiplantae; Streptophyta; Magnoliopsida; Poales; Bromeliaceae
Description: long non-coding RNA (ACOM_LNC026583)
Source: RNAcentral